Molecule: transfer RNA, 76 nt
Filed under: Marmota monax (woodchuck)
Lineage: Eukaryota; Metazoa; Chordata; Mammalia; Rodentia; Sciuridae
Description: tRNA.Ser
Source: RNAcentral
AUAAGUCAUGGCUCAGUGGAAGUGCUCUUGCCUAGAAUGUGCAAGGCAUUGGGUUCGAUUCCCAGCACCACUUAUG